UUCUCCAUUCUUCCGUCGCCCCCUCCAAAACCUAGGUCAUGGCGGCCGCCUCUGGCGCCCAUCUCUCCGGUUUCCUCUCCCUCUGUGGCAACUCCAGCUCCCCCUUCCCUCCCCUUCUCCUGCCCCUCUCGACAUGCACUCCAUCUCCUUCCCUUUCUUUCUCCGCCUUCUGGAUUACCAGCGGCGGCGUCUGCCCGGCGAGCGCCACUGCCACCGACGCAUCCUCUCAGCUCCAAAAAAAAGCUCCUUUUUUUGUCCGAAUUAGCGAGAAAUCGCCGGAUCUGCGUGCGGCGGUGCUGAAUCCAGUGGUGUUGUGAGCCCAGCCGUCCACCGACACUUACUACCCAGGCUGGGCCUUUCGUUGAGCCGAGGAAGGAGGUGGACGAAGCUGAUGAGGCGCAAGCUGCAGCAGUCAAGAGCCAAAGAACAUGGACGUACAUCUCAACUACUUGAAUCUGCAUCAUUACGAGGUGUUAUGCAACAUGCAUCUUGCUGCUAGAGAUUGGGAUUUCAGAUACUUGUUUACGAGAGCUGAAACACCAUUUUAUUUUGUUCGCCAGUAAAUGAAAAUGAAACAUUGCUGCCCCAGCUUGAGUAUUUCCUUAUCUGAGAAUACUUGAGGACAGUCAAUCUAUGAUGAUAUUCUUAGUAUUCUGAAUUUGCACUGAAACUCCGAGUAAUCGAUAAUGAAUUUUCACUUGACUGAAGAUGCCAGUUUGUAAGCAUCACACAAACUCUUCAGGCGAGCAGGUUGAAGGCUAACGGCUAACUAAAUUAAGCUGUUCAUGGUGAUAUAUUUUGAGCUCAUACACCACUCUCUGCUAAGUGCCAAUUCCAGCUGUUAUCAUUUGUGAGUAGUAACUAUGACUAUCCUCUUUUAAUUUAUCUCACUUUCUCACUGGAAUAUCCAUGUGCUCUUUUAACUAUGACUGCCAAUUGACUGCUCUUUUAAAUAAAAAAAUGUGAAGUAUACAAUUCUUAUUGACAAGUUAACCCUUCCAAGCAGUAUGGUUAGGCAAACAUGCUGCAGGUGAACAACAGAGAAAUGUCCACAACAAUAUUCAAAACGAUUACUGAUGCCUACAGGACAUAGUAUUAGCAUGUAGAUCUUACUAUGUUUACAACAUGUAGACCUGAACUCUGCCUAUAACAUUAGCUUCUCAUCGACACAUUUUUUAAAAGCAUGUUCAUUUGAUGCUUUAAUGCGCUUCAAUCAUUUAUUAGAUUAUAAUGUUUGCAUUUCAUUAGCCGCAGAAGAUUGACACCAUUAUCACUAAUUAUUCUUGGCACAUGUUAGUGCAACACAUGCGCGAAGAUAGUUUUGUACUCCUAGAUUAUCACACUUGUCGUGAAUUUUCCCAACCAAUGAUACUGCUGUCCCCAACCAGUGAGACUCCACAAUGGCAAAUUAGUCUAUAAUUGUUUUUGUUGUUAUCCUACAGAGAUGUGUCAUAAAAACAACAAGAACAACAUAAUGACAAUUUUCCUUAUCUGCGUUUCUUUUAUUUGUUUCUCCGACUGAGAUUAUUUUCUUUUAUGUGAGUGUUUUGAAGCAAUUUGGUUGCAGGAAUCAUGUUGAAAGGAAAGUAACUGUUGUGACGAUGCAUUAGUUUUGCUCAGAUGAAACGCCUAUAACAAAAUAUUUCCAUGUAGACGUACAUGAUAGGCUAUGGCAUUAACGGUCAUAGACAUAGAGGUGAUUCCUAUAUGUAUGUUUGGUUGUGGUCAUACAGGCUUUGUGUUGGUGUUUUGUUAUAACUUCAUUUUAGAGCCACAUUUAUUUAGUAUUUACUAACUUUAUAUAUAUUACGCAGAAUACAUCCUUGCCGUGUGAUAUAUGUGUUGAACUUUGAGCCAAUGCAGACACUGUGAACUGAAUGUCAAGCUAAUAUAUUGUGACUCAUAAUCAUUAUAACUAUUGCCUAGCUCCUUAUCUAGGGAAACUUUGUUAUAGGCGUUUCCUGUGAUAUGUAUAGAAUGGUUGGUUCCAUGAUUCUAUUUCAUUGGUGGGUGCCACCUUUGUGAUUGUCUUUGCCAUGGGUCUUAAGUGCUCUGGGUGGCAUAUUUGAGAGUCCUAUUUACGCUCUGAUUUGAGAAAGUUUGUACUUGGCAUUUUCCAAAGCACUUGAGGUAUCACUGCAUGUUAGGAUUUAGUAGGCUGCCUCUUUUGCAUUUGAUGUUGCUGAGAGGGAUUUUGCAUUAUUCACUCCAUGUAUUCUUAUGAUUUACUUUUGAAUGUCUGAUAUAUUUGAAUUAGUUCGGUGAGGUUGUGCGCUUAAAAAAUAUAGUUAUAGGAUUUUUCUUUGAUAUGUAUAGCUGGUUAAUGGCUUAUAUGCAAUAUGAAAAAUGUUCAUGCCAUUUGGGUUCCACGAUUCUCAUACACUGUUCAUUCAUUUGCAUGUUGAGCUAAUACUUAUAUGUAUGUAGUAUUUGAUUAUUUUUUGAAAUAUGUGAAUUACACUAUCUAAUGCCAGCCUGCAUUUUGCACUACAGGAACACUCCUGAAUCUGUAUAUCAUUAACUGAUUCCCAACCAAUCAUUGCAGAGUCACUCUGUUCUCUCUUCUUUCUCAUUAUCCUCAGCACUCAGCAUGACUACACUUGGCUGCAUAAUGGUAUCAUAUCCUGGUAUAGCUUAUGUUGUUGCCCUUACAACGAAAUUGUUGCCAUUCGAUAUGGCUUUAGAGAAUUUCUAAUGUCAUCAUCGGUGAAGUCCUUUGCACUAUCCUUUGUCUCAAGAGGUUAUGUUAGCCUAAAAAUAUGUGUCAAUUAAUGAUGAAUAUUGUUUGUUCAUUACAACUUCUCCUGCUCCUGAAGAUACCAAUUUUACCUGAUAAGUACGUUGUUUCUUAAAAAAAACUGAACGAGAUUAACUAUUACAGACUUAUAGUAUUUCUUCCAGUCAACGCGAUGGAGGCGUCCAAGGAUGGUAAGUGUUGGCCUCCACCUGAAGCAUGGUUGAUCAGGGAUUUCUGGUUUUUCAUUUUGUUUGCGUGUGCUUCCUUUGCUGAUAUGACGUUGUUGCGUGCAGAAGACCAUAUCGUGGCACAUAUUUCGGGCUGUAUGAGGCCUUCCACAACGUUGCAAUUUAUCGGUGCCCAAACCAAUUUUGAGGCAUCGAGUGCCGGUUCCCUACAUUGCUCAGACGGUGCCUCAAAAUAUUUUCAGGGAAUCGGAGCAAGAAGAAGCACCGAUGCCUCAACUCAUCAGCUAAUAAAAUAUCAUAUCAAUGAACUGGCAAGCAGCAGCAUCGCUCCUUUAUGAAUCAUUACCUGGCCAUGCAACAUCCACGAUAGCUACGAAGAGAAAAGGUUGGUCUCAGUCCAUUCUUUUAUGCUGGCGUGGGUCCUACAACAGUUUUACAGGAAUCCACCACGCUGUGCCAUCGGUUCCCAAAUAUUUUUGUCAGGGGAUCACUGCUCCAUUCAGAUUUUGGGCACCGCCUACAUUGUGGAGGGCCUGAUGCUUAGAUAAGCUAUGUUGAGAGCUAUGGCACAGACGCAAGGUACCGUGCCUACUGGGAGUCUGGUGGCUUUGUGUCAGCGGUGCAGAGUCGUGUUCCUGUGAGGUGCCAGCUGUGUUCCAGGAGCUGGGUGGUUGGGAGUGCAUCUCAGGCAGAGGAGGAUGUGGCCGUGGGCCUCAUUCGUGCUGUACAGUGGUGGUGUGGUGUGGCUGUCGGUGACGCCAAAUGGAGACGCGCCAUCUGGAUGCGCCGACAGGCGGUCCAGCUCUGGUCCGUUGUUCAGACUGCAUUGGCAAGAAGCAGCAUGCAGUUGAGAAGGCUUGGUUUGCUGGAGCCGGGGCUGGUCUCCAUCGAUGAUUUGAUCUCCAUCUGUGGCACAUGCAGAGGAGCUCUGCUCUGUGGCUUAUGCUAACUUGGGUCUUGCGAGUGCUACCACUGAACUUGCCAGAUGAUUGAUAGGUGCAUGCUCUUUCGGGGCGCAGACUAGACAGGAUAAACGAGGUCACCACCAGGUUGACAGCGGCGUUGGGGCAGGAAGAGCUUGCUGGCACGCUAGGCUUCUUCUGGUAGUCUGCGUGGUAGGCAAAUCCUGCGUUCUUUAAUGUGCCCUUUCUUCCUGCGCCGUGGUUGUCCUGGUUGGGCAGCUGCUGUAGGCACGUUCAGUAGCCUGAUGUUCUGCAUACGAAAAAGAAGCUGGUGUUUUGCUGUAUGAAAAAGAAGCUGGCUCUGGGUGGGGUGGUCGUGGUGGUUGCCCUUUUGCAGUAGGCUGUGGAGUAGGUGCAAGUGCCGUGGGUAUGUGUGACGCUAUGUAUUUCUGGUGUGGUACUGGUUGAAAUGGAUACACGAAUGGGGUAGUUUUUGUA
Lolium perenne is the source of this 4325-nucleotide non-coding RNA. Lineage: Eukaryota; Viridiplantae; Streptophyta; Magnoliopsida; Poales; Poaceae. The record is from RefSeq and is a predicted model, not a curated record.